RNAcentral lists this ribosomal RNA (253 nucleotides) under uncultured bacterium. Its description in RNAcentral is "partial 16S ribosomal RNA". It matches the Rfam family "Bacterial small subunit ribosomal RNA", at positions 524 to 776 of the family's 1533-position model. The record is from RNAcentral.
UACGUAGGUGGCAAGCGUUGUCCGGAAUUAUUGGGCGUAAAGCGCGCGCAGGCGGCCUUUUAAGUCUGAUGUGAAAUCUUGCGGCUCAACCGCAAGCGGUCAUUGGAAACUGGGAGGCUUGAGUACAGAAGAGGAGAGUGGAAUUCCACGUGUAGCGGUGAAAUGCGUAGAUAUGUGGAGGAACACCAGUGGCGAAGGCGACUCUCUGGUCUGUAACUGACGCUGAGGCGCGAAAGCGUGGGGAGCGAACAGG